This is a long non-coding RNA of Micropterus salmoides (largemouth bass), 1494 nucleotides long. RefSeq lists it as uncharacterized. NCBI's taxonomy places the organism in Eukaryota, Metazoa, Chordata, Actinopteri, Centrarchiformes, Centrarchidae. The record is from RefSeq and is a predicted model, not a curated record. The transcript is spliced from 3 exons.
GCCAUGCUUGUCUGGUCUUCUCCUUUCCUUCUACCUCCUCUUGAGUUUAACAUGUCCAAGGAAAAUGGAUAACUUAACUCAAAGCAAAGAGGAGCCAACAUCUUCUGUAUGCAAGAAUCCUGGAUUGUGGACAUGCUAGGCCAAGAUCAAACAGCAUCUAGAUCAUUCCCUGGGGUUGUGAAUCUUUUGAUGAUAAUACUUCUGGCUGGUGAUGUUGAGCAAAAUCCUGGACCUGUUUUAAGUCCUGUGUUACAGCUACAGCUGUUCCCUGGGCUAACGCCACCUCUGCUACCUGGGCUACAGCAACUCUCUGGGCUAAUACCACCACUGCUACCUGGGCUACAUCAGCUCCCUGGGUUAAUACCACCUCUGCUACCUGGGCUACAUCAGCUCCCUGGGUUAAUACCACCUCUGCUACCUGGGUUGCAGCAGCUCCCUGGACUAAUACCACCAAGGCUAACGGAGCUACAGCAGCUCUCUGGGCUAACACCACCACUGCAGGACCCUAUAACAACUGAGCUUAGUAUGUCACCACAACCCAUCAUACCCAUGUGUACAGAAAGGAAAACAUCGAUCGUUAUUGAACUUUUGAUGGCAUGUGGAAAGAAACUGGUUUCACCAAAGUUGCGUGAGGGUCAGGACCUGAGUGGCUUUAUGAUUCACAAGGUAUUCAGAUCAAAGGUGGUGUACAUUCGGCCAUCAAGCAAUCUUCCAUUUCCGUUUGACAGCACAGAUUCAGAGGACAGUUGUGUGGAGGUUGACAUCAGCAUCUAGUAACCACAACACUUCUACUGCCAGUCAGACCUGUGGUCGUAUAACUACGAGGGCCAGGAGAAAUCAAAUCACACAAGAAGUUCACAAGAAGGACCAGAGCUAACCAGCCCUCUGCAUCACAGCAAGAUACCCGUGAUACCAUGACUGCUAACCAACCCUCUGCAGCACAGCAAGCGACCCGUGAUCUCACCACCAUAGCUAACCAGCCCUCUGCAUCACAGCAAGCAUCCAGUGUCAUUCACUUAGAUAGUGUUACCACAGAGGACCAGACUCCAUCAACUAGCAAUGACGAUUAUGCUGCCUACCUUUCGAUCAUGACUUCCAUCUCGGACCUUUCAUCUGAUGAUGAGGAAUUAAACCAGGCUGUGAUGGUCAUGAGUGGGUGUGGGCUCUCUCUCUCUCUCUCUCUCACACUCACACACACACACACACACACAUUAUUGACUUUAUUUUUGUCUUUAGAAAGUAUUUUUCGGAGGUGUAAUGAAACUUUUUCGACAGCGUUAUUUAUUUUGGGUUUUAAAUGUGUGUAGUAGAAAAAAGAAAAUCGAGCAAAAUUCUGAUUAUAUUGAUUGAUUUUGCUUUUUACAAGCAUAUGGAUGAUCUCAUUACCUUUGAAGGUAUUUGGUGUUGCAAUGAGGCAUUGUGCUCUGUAUUUGAAGGUGACUUGUUUUUUGCACAUUUAUUGUGAGUUGGGGCUGCUCUUAAUAUUUAUGCAUA